CAAGAAAAGCAUCGACGCGAGGUUCAAGUCACCCGUACCCCAAACCGACUCAGGUGUUCAGGUAGAGAAUACCAAGGAGAUCGAGAGAAUCGUGGUUAAGGAACUCGGCAAAAUGCCCCCGUAACUUCGGGAGAAGGGGGGCCCGCGGUGUGAAGGGAUUUACUCCUGGAGCACCAUACGGCCGCAGAGACCAGUGGGAAGCGACUGUUUACUAAAAACACAGGUCCGUGCCAAGUCGCAAGACGAUGUAUACGGACUGACGCCUGCCCGGUGCUGGAAGGUUAAGAGGAACGGUUAGCCGCAAGGCGAAGCUGAGAAUUUAAGCCCCAGUAAACGGCGGUGGUAACUAUAACCAUCCUAAGGUAGCGAAAUUCCUUGUCGGGUAAGUUCCGACCUGCACGAAUGGCGUAACGACUUCCCAGCUGUCUCAACCGCGAACUCGGCGAAAUUGCACUACGAGUAAAGAUGCUCGUUACGCGCAGAAGGACGGAAAGACCCCGUGACCUUUACUA
This 512-nucleotide ribosomal RNA is filed under the name Nostoc sp. HG1. RNAcentral describes it as "partial 23S ribosomal RNA". It matches the Rfam family "Bacterial large subunit ribosomal RNA", at positions 1609 to 2106 of the family's 2925-position model. The record is from RNAcentral. Lineage: Bacteria; Bacillati; Cyanobacteriota; Cyanophyceae; Nostocales; Nostocaceae.